AGAGUUUGAUCAUGGCUCAGAUUGAACGCUGGCGGCAGGCCUAACACAUGCAAGUCGAGCGGCAGCGGGAAAGUAGCUUGCUACUUUUGCCGGCGAGCGGCGGACGGGUGAGUAAUGCCUGGGACACUGCCUGAUGGAGGGGGAUAACUACUGGAAACGGUAGCUAAUACCGCAUAAUGUCUACGGACCAAAGUGUGGGACCUUCGGGCCACAUGCUAUCGGAUGCGCCUACGUGGGAUUAGCUAGUUGGUGAGGUAAUGGCUCACCAAGGCGACGAUCUCUAGCUGGUCUGAGAGGAUGAUCAGCCACACUGGAACUGAGACACGGUCCAGACUCCUACGGGAGGCAGCAGUGGGGAAUAUUGCACAAUGGGGGAAACCCUGAUGCAGCCAUGCCGCGUGUGUGAAGAAGGCCUUCGGGUUGUAAAGCACUUUCAGCGAGGAGGAAAGGCUGAUGCCUAAUACGUAUCAACUGUGACGUUACUCGCAGAAGAAGCACCGGCUAACUCCGUGCCAGCAGCCGCGGUAAUUC
This 531-nucleotide ribosomal RNA is filed under the name uncultured bacterium. RNAcentral's name for it is "bacterial SSU rRNA". It matches the Rfam family "Bacterial small subunit ribosomal RNA", at positions 8 to 526 of the family's 1533-position model. The record is from RNAcentral.